AAAGAUCCACCGGGCACCACCUGCCGGUGCCGGUGCCCCCCUCGAAAGCGUUGGCUCCCCUCUUACGGUCCAGGACGUCGCGAAGGUCGUCGAUGCGGGCGGUCUCGGAGAGACUGGGCCCUGCCCGAUGCCCACCCGUUCCGCCAGACGCGGGGCUCCCUUGGGAAGCGCGGGCGCCCCCCGGUGUUGGGCGUUGGCGAGCAAUUUCCACCUGCCCCGCGAUUUCCUGGAUCCACGGGCGCAUGGGGGACGACUCCUCCAACGGCACCGGCGGGUGUGGGAGGAGGACGCACAUGGUCUGGAGCGCGGCCACCUUGGUGGCCUCGCCAGCGCCCGGCCGACGGCGCGCUGGUUGACGCUCGACGCGCAGGCACGGCUGGGGGGACGCUGAGCCCCCUGCCGCUAGAAGACUGGCUGAGCCGCAACUAUGUCCCAUGCCGAGUGGUUCCCAGCGUGCUGGCGGCGAAGGCCGCUGCCGCCGCUGUGCCUGCGAUCCACGGGAGGGCAUGGUUGAUGAUGAUGCAGCAAAUAUUUGGUCAAGCAUUUGGAUUUAGCUGUGGUGUUCAAACAUAUCAAUCCCCUGUCCCUGCAGAAGUAGGAUACAAUCAAUCCACUGCAGCUGAGACUAGCCACUGGACAAUGGGUGCGAAUCACGCGACUCAUAAAACUUGAAAAGAUGCUAUUCCAGCUGACAGUUCUACUACUUGAUGUCCUUAAAGGAAUUGUAGGUUUUGAAAUUCUAAUAUUCAUGUUACAAUUCCUGGUCAAGUUUGCAGUAAAGCUUUACAAAAGGCAUUGCGUAAGUUCGGUUUGUGUCAAAUACUUAUCUGACGAAGUUAUACGAAAUUCCAGUAGGAUCCUUGGGAUAACAUCUAUGAUCUCUUUCCUCACCGAGCUACAAGCAUGUUUGGGUUGCUUGCUGCAGCUAAAUUGCCGUUCAACUUUUCAGAUAUUAUUUUUACCAUUUACGAUAUAACUGAAGAGUGAUUAAAUGAAUCUGCACCGUUGAACAGAGUGUUUCAAGUAUUUUCACAGAAGAAAAUAUGUCCAAUGGUUUAAUUGCGUACCUUUUGCCCUAGUUGUCUUAUAUUUCACUGAUCUUGUUAUUUUGCAGCUGAUAAUGGAGAGAUAGACUGUUUCUCAACCAUGGCAAGUACACCAAUUUUAACAGUGAAGACCCUUCAUAUCAAUUCAGCGAUUCUUGCUGCAAGAAGUCGUUUCUUUCUAAAGCUUUUCUCAAAUGGCAUGAAUGAAUCUGAUCAGACGCAUCCAAGAAUCAGGAUUGCUGAUUCAGAGGAAAAAGCCUUUAUGGAGCUUUUAAGCUUCAUGUACAGUGGAAAGUUGACAACAAUUGAGCCCACUCUUCUGCUCGACAUCUUAAUGGCUGCCGACAAAUUUGAGGUUCUUUCUUGCAUGAGGUACUGCAGUCAGUUGCUCAGAAGCCUGCCUAUGACCACAGAAUCUGCACUGCUAUACCUCGAUCAUCCAUGCUCCCUUUCAAUGGCUGCUGAAGUUCAGAGUGUGGUAGGUGCAGCCAAGGAAUUCCUUGCCGAGAAAUACAAGAUUUUAGACAAGUUUGAAGAAGUGAUGAACAUCUCUCUUUCUGGAAUCGAGGCGAUCUUUUCGAGCACUGACAUACAAGUAGCAUCUGAAGAUGCGGUAUAUAACUUCUUGCUCGAGUGGGCCCGUGCGCGAUACCUGGAACCGGAGGAAAGACGCGGGAUCUUGAGCAGCCGUUUGCUUCCGCUGGUACGCUUCAGUCAUAUGACAUGUGCCGCUCUUCAGGAGAUCCUAGCAUGCACUGAUGAUGAUAUAGACCGUGAGCAAGUAACCAAGCGCAUCAAUGAGGUCCUCCUCCACAAAGCUUACCCAACCCAGAUGGAAGGUGCUCUUGCAGCAGAUGUAUCAACUCUCGAUUGGCAAUCUGCUGAGCGAACUUACGGGUCCAAACAUGUGAAAGCGGUUGUGUUUGAUCGACCUUGCCCACAGGUUAUAGUUUACAUGGAUCUAACCCGCGACGAGUGCUCCCGAUUCUUCCCAUCAGGAGUUAUAUUGUCGGACUGGUUCCAUCUCGCAGGUCAGAAAUUCUAUCUCAUGGCAGACUGUGUACUGGAUGAGCAGACAGAGUUGUACAGCUUUGGCCUCUGGCUAGGGAUAUAUGGAAAUUCUGUUUCAGGCUCGUCGUGUUUCGAUGUUGAGUUUGCUGCAAGGACAAGAUCGUCAGGAAAAUUCUUGAGCAAGUACGUCGGUAGGCACACAUUCAGCGGGUCUUUGCUGGAGGGAUGUGAUGAUCUUUUUGGAGUUCCAUGGUCGACGUUCAUUGCGGACGACAGCCUCUUCAUCGACGGCGUGCUGCAUCUGAGAGUUGAUCUGACUGUGGUGGAGCAGCCUGAAUUACAGACCUGAUGGUAUUUCACUCAGCAAAGUUAGGGUGUGUCUUGAGCCCUGCAUGUGAUACUGUGAGCUGCUGCAGCAGCCAGGAAGUUUAAUCCCCGGGCAUUGUCCGGGGUAACCUGAAUCAUGUGUUAUUGUUGUUGAUCGGUUGCUACUGCAAGUCAGUAGUAACAUGUGUGUGUGUGCGCGCUGACUGCUGACUUUUGUAUGUUGGUAUCAUACUUUAGAAUUUCAUUUAUGCCUGUGCGAAUGGUCUCUGUGCUGGGAAAGUGAGUUUGUUGGCUGAAUGAUGCAAGGAGAUUCCGA
This 2700-nucleotide ribosomal RNA is filed under the name Triticum aestivum (bread wheat). RNAcentral describes it as "partial small subunit ribosomal RNA". Lineage: Eukaryota; Viridiplantae; Streptophyta; Magnoliopsida; Poales; Poaceae. The record is from RNAcentral.